AGUGAACGCUGGCGGUAGGCCUAACACAUGCAAGUCGAACGGCAGCACAGUAAGAGCUUGCUCUUACGGGUGGCGAGUGGCGGACGGGUGAGGAAUACAUCGGAAUCUACUUUUUCGUGGGGGAUAACGUAGGGAAACUGACGCUAAUACCGCAUACGACCUACGGGUGAAAGCAGGUGAUCUUCGGACCUUGCGCGAUUGAAUGAGCCGAUGUCGGAUUAGCUAGUUGGCGGGGUAAAGGCCCACCAAGGCGACGAUCCGUAGCUGGUCUGAGAGGAUGAUCAGCCACACUGGAACUGAGACACGGUCCAGACUCCUACGGGAGGCAGCAGUGGGGAAUAUUGGACAAUGGGCGCAAGCCUGAUCCAGCCAUACCGCGUGGGUGAAGAAGGCCUUCGGGUUGUAAAGCCCUUUUGUUGGGAAAGAAAAGCAGCAGGUUAAUACCCCGCUGUUCUGACGGUACCCAAAGAAUAAGCACCGGCUAACUUCGUG
RNAcentral lists this ribosomal RNA (492 nucleotides) under uncultured bacterium. RNAcentral describes it as "partial 16S ribosomal RNA". It matches the Rfam family "Bacterial small subunit ribosomal RNA", at positions 29 to 507 of the family's 1533-position model. The record is from RNAcentral.